UUCGUGCAGGGGGGCGCUCCCCUCAGCCCAGAUUGUGAGAAGGCGCAGGCCAGGUUGAGGGGCCCCACUGGUGCACA
Myotis brandtii (Brandt's bat) is the source of this 77-nucleotide non-coding RNA. NCBI's taxonomy places the organism in Eukaryota, Metazoa, Chordata, Mammalia, Chiroptera, Vespertilionidae. The record is from Rfam.